UAAGUACCCCGAGGAAAAGAAAUCAACCGAGAUUCCCCCAGUAGCGGCGAGCGAACGGGGAGGAGCCCAGAGCCUGAAUCAGCAUGUGUGUUAGUGGAAGCGUCUGGAAAGGCGCGCGAUACAGGGUGACAGCCCCGUACACAAAAGCGCAUGUGCUGUGAGCUCGAUGAGUAGGGCGGGACACGUGGUAUCCUGUCUGAAUAUGGGGGGACCAUCCUCCAAGGCUAAAUACUCCUGACUGACCGAUAGUGAACCAGUACCGUGAGGGAAAGGCGAAAAGAACCCCGGCGAGGGGAGUGAAAAAGAACCUGAAACCGUGUACGUACAAGCAGUGGGAGCACAGGUUUACCUGUGUGACUGCGUACCUUUUGUAUAAUGGGUCAGCGACUUAUAUUCUGUAGCAAGGUUAACCGAAUAGGGGAGCCGGAGGGAAACCGAGUCUUAAUUGGGCGUUAAGUUGCAGGGUAUAGACCCGAAACCCGGUGAUCUAGCCAUGGGCAGGUUGAAGGUUGGGUAACACUAACUGGAGGACCGAACCGACUAAUGUUGAAAAAUUAGCGGAUGACCUGUGGCUGGGGGUGAAAGGCCAAUCAAACCGGGAGAUAGCUGGUUCUCCCCGAAAGCUAUUUAGGUAGCGCCUCGUGAAUUCAUCUCCGGGGGUAGAGCACUGUUUCGGCUAGGGGGCCAUCCCGGCUUACCAACCCGAUGCAAACUGCGAAUACCGGAGAAUGUUAUCACGGGAGACACACGGCGGGUGCUAACGUCCGUCGUGAAGAGGGAAACAACCCAGACCGCCAGCUAAGGUCCCAAAGUCAUGGUUAAGUGGGAAACGAUGUGGGAAGGCCCAGACAGCCAGGAUGUUGGCUUAGAAGCAGCCAUCAUUUAAAGAAAGCGUAAUAGCUCACUGGUCGAGUCGGCCUGCGCGGAAGAUGUAACGGGGCUAAACCAUGCACCGAAGCUGCGGCAGCGACACUGUGUGUUGUUGGGUAGGGGAGCGUUCUGUAAGCCUGUGAAGGUGGCCUGUGAGGGUUGCUGGAGGUAUCAGAAGUGCGAAUGCUGACAUAAGUAACGAUAAAGCGGGUGAAAAGCCCGCUCGCCGGAAGACCAAGGGUUCCUGUCCAACGUUAAUCGGGGCAGGGUGAGUCGACCCCUAAGGCGAGGCCGAAAGGCGUAGUCGAUGGGAAACAGGUUAAUAUUCCUGUACUUGGUGUUACUGCGAAGGGGGGACGGAGAAGGCUAUGUUGGCCGGGCGACGGUUGUCCCGGUUUAAGCGUGUAGGUGUGUGUUCCAGGUAAAUCCGGUUCACUUUAACACUGAGGCGUGAUGACGAGGCACUACGGUGCUGAAGCAACAAAUGCCCUGCUUCCAGGAAAAGCCUCUAAGCAUCAGGUAACAUCAAAUCGUACCCCAAACCGACACAGGUGGUCAGGUAGAGAAUACCAAGGCGCUUGAGAGAACUCGGGUGAAGGAACUAGGCAAAAUGGUGCCGUAACUUCGGGAGAAGGCACGCUGACAC
Molecule: ribosomal RNA, 1516 nt
Filed under: Salmonella enterica subsp. enterica serovar Newport
Lineage: Bacteria; Pseudomonadati; Pseudomonadota; Gammaproteobacteria; Enterobacterales; Enterobacteriaceae
Description: partial 23S ribosomal RNA
Rfam family: Bacterial large subunit ribosomal RNA
Source: RNAcentral